Molecule: ribosomal RNA, 253 nt
Filed under: uncultured bacterium
Lineage: Bacteria
Description: partial 16S ribosomal RNA
Rfam family: Bacterial small subunit ribosomal RNA
Source: RNAcentral
UACGUAGGUGACCAGCGUUGUCCGGAUUUACUGGGCGUAAAGAGCGCGCAGGCGGUCGUUCAAGUCGAGUGUGAAAGCCCCCGGCUCAACUGGGGAGGGUCAUUCGAUACUGAUCGACUUGAAGGCAGGAGAGGGAAGCGGAAUUCCCGGUGUAGUGGUGAAAUGCGUAGAUAUCGGGAGGAACACCAGUGGCGAAGGCGGCUUCCUGGCCUGUUCUUGACGCUGAGGCGCGAAAGCCAGGGGAGCAAACGGG